GCUCAUCACAUCCUGGGGCUGAAGUAGGUCCCAAGGGUAUGGCUGUUCGCCAUUUAAAGUGGUACGCGAGCUGGGUUUAGAACGUCGUGAGACAGUUCGGUCCCUAUCUGCCGUGGGCGCUGGAGAAUUGAGGGGGGCUGCUCCUAGUACGAGAGGACCGGAGUGGACGCAUCACUGGUGUUCGGGUUGUCAUGCCAAUGGCACUGCCCGGUAGCUAAAUGCGGAAGAGAUAAGUGCUGAAAGCAUNUAAGCACG
This 255-nucleotide ribosomal RNA is filed under the name Escherichia coli. Its description in RNAcentral is "partial 23S ribosomal RNA". It matches the Rfam family "Bacterial large subunit ribosomal RNA", at positions 2535 to 2789 of the family's 2925-position model. Lineage: Bacteria; Pseudomonadati; Pseudomonadota; Gammaproteobacteria; Enterobacterales; Enterobacteriaceae. The record is from RNAcentral.